UUCCGGUUGAUCCCGCCGGAGGUCACUGCUAUCGGUGUCCGAUUAAGCCAUGCGAGUCGAGAGGUGUAAGACCUCGGCAGACUGCUCAGUAACACGUGGAUAACGUGCCCAAGGGUCCGGGAUAACCCCGGGAAACUGGGGAUAAUACCGGAUGGGUCACCAGUGCUGGAAUGCUUGGUGGUCGAAAGGUGACGCCUUUGGAUGGGUCUGCGGCGGAUUAGGUUGACGCCGGUGUAACGUACCGGCGUGCCUGUAAUCCGUACGGGUUGUGGGAGCAAGAGCCCGGAGAUGGAUUCUGAGACACGAAUCCAGGCCCUACGGGGCGCAGCAGGCGCGAAAACUCUACAAUGCAGGCAACUGCGAUAGGGGGACAUCGAGUGGCAUCCACCUUGGGUGUCUGUCCAACCGUCUAAAAAACGGUUGUUAGCAAGGGCCGGGCAAGACCGGUGCCAGCCGCCGCGGUAAUACCGGCGGCUCGAGUGGUGGCCGAUAUUAUUGAGUCUAAAGGGUCCGUAGCCGGCUUUGCAAGUCCCCUGGGAAAUCCGGCGGCUUAACCGUUGGGCUUUCAUGGGAUACUACAUUGCUUGGGACUGGGAGAGGUAGGAGGUACUCGGGGGGUAGGGGUGAAAUCCUGUAAUCCUCCGGGGACCACCGGUGGCGAAGGCGUCCUACCAGAACAGGUCCGACGGUGAGGGACGAAAGCUAGGGGCACGAACCGGAUUAGAUACCCGGGUAGUCCUAGCCGUAAACGAUGCCCGCUAGGUGUCACGACGGUCGUGAAUCGUCGUGGUGCCGUAGGGAAGCCGCGAAGCGGGCCACUUGGGAAGUACGGCCGCAAGGCUGAAACUUAAAGGAAUUGGCGGGA
Molecule: ribosomal RNA, 865 nt
Filed under: uncultured Methanocella sp.
Lineage: Archaea; Methanobacteriati; Methanobacteriota; Methanomicrobia; Methanocellales; Methanocellaceae
Description: bacterial SSU rRNA
Rfam family: Archaeal small subunit ribosomal RNA
Source: RNAcentral